GCAACAGCUCAAAUUUGAAAUCUGGCGCAAGCCCGAGUUGUAAUUUGCAGAGGAUGUUUCGGGUGAAGCCACGGUCCAAGUCCCUUGGAACAGGACGUCAUAGAGGGUGAGAACCCCGUACCUGGCCGUCGGUGCCCCCCGCUGUGAAACUCCUUCGACGAGUCGAGUUGUUUGGGAAUGCAGCUCUAAAUUGGUGGUAAAUUCCAUCCAAAGCUAAAUACCGGCCAGAGACCGAUAGCGCACAAGUAGAGUGAUCGAAAGAUGAAAAGCACUUUGAAAAGAGAGUUAAAAAGUACGUGAAAUUGUUGAAAGGGAAGCGCUUGCGGCCAGACUUGCCCGCGGUUGCUCAGCCCGCCCUUUGGCGGGUGCACUCUUCCGCGGUCAGGCCAGCAUCGGUUUGGGCGGCCGGAUAAAGGCGCCGGGAACGUGGCCUCCCCUCGGGGAGGUGUUAUAGCCCGGCGCGCAAUGCGACCAGCCCGGACCGAGGUUCGCGCUCUGCUAGGAUGCUGGCGUAAUGGCCGUAAGCGGCCCGUCUUGAAACACGGACCAAGGAGUCUAACAUCUAUGCGAGUGUUUGGGUGUCAAACCCGUGCGCGUAAUGAAAGUGAACGGAGGUGGGAACCGCAAGGUGCACCAUCGACCGAUCCUGAUGUCUUCGGAAGGAUUUGAGUAAGAGCAUAGCUGUUGGGACCCGAAAGAUGGUGAACUAUGCGUGAAUAGGGUGAAGCCAGAGGAAACUCUGGUGGAGGCUCGCAGCGGUUCUGACGUGCAAAUCGAUCGUCAA
This 784-nucleotide ribosomal RNA is filed under the name Venturia oleaginea. RNAcentral's name for it is "partial large subunit ribosomal RNA". It matches the Rfam family "Eukaryotic large subunit ribosomal RNA", at positions 101 to 908 of the family's 3401-position model. The record is from RNAcentral. Lineage: Eukaryota; Fungi; Ascomycota; Dothideomycetes; Venturiales; Venturiaceae.